GGAAACAUACCAGAUUGUGGCAGUAGAUUUUGGAAAAUGCAGUCGACAGUGCGGUCUGGUUCGGUCAGCAUGAAGUGUUAUGAAGUGCCAGUUUGCCAACCUGAUCACUGGUUUUUGACAGCAGACCGUCUACUUCCUUGAUACCUGAACAACUCCUACAGUGAAGAGGCAUUUCCUGAACAAUGGAGCGACAUCCUCGAGACACAACAACAGAAGCUUUCUAAAGACAUGCAAACCAUGAGAUGGAAACUUGCUUUGUAAUUCCCUACCAGUGACUGGCAGUCCUGAAACAGGUGGUUAGCUUAAGUAUAUUCAAAAUGAGGUGUUAUUAUAAUAAUUUAGUCCUAUUAUCAUAAACACAGUUUCGAAGUUCCAUAGUGGG
This is a long non-coding RNA of Mizuhopecten yessoensis (Yesso scallop), 382 nucleotides long. RefSeq lists it as uncharacterized. Lineage: Eukaryota; Metazoa; Mollusca; Bivalvia; Pectinida; Pectinidae. The transcript has 3 exons. The record is from RefSeq and is a predicted model, not a curated record.